GACGAACGCUGGCGGCGUGCUUAACACAUGCAAGUCGAACGGAAAGGCCCUGCUUUUGUGGGGUGCUCGAGUGGCGAACGGGUGAGUAACACGUGAGUAACCUGCCCUUGACUUUGGGAUAACUUCAGGAAACUGGGGCUAAUACCGGAUAGGAGCUACUGCUGCAGGGUGGGGGUUGGAAAGUUUCGGCGGUUGGGGAUGGACUCGCGGCUUAUCAGCUUGUUGGUUGGGUAGUGGCUUACCAAGGCUUUGACGGGUAGCCGGCCUGAGAGGGUGACCGGCCACAUUGGGACUGAGAUACGGCCCAGACUCCUACGGGAGGCAGCAGUGGGGAAUAUUGCACAAUGGGCGGAAGCCUGAUGCAGCAACGCCGCGUGCGGGAUGACGGCCUUCGGGUUGUAAACCGCUGUCGCCUGUGACGAAGCGUGAGUGACGGUAAUGGGUAAAGAAGCACCGGCUAACUACGUG
This 468-nucleotide ribosomal RNA is filed under the name uncultured bacterium. RNAcentral describes it as "partial 16S ribosomal RNA". It matches the Rfam family "Bacterial small subunit ribosomal RNA", at positions 28 to 507 of the family's 1533-position model. The record is from RNAcentral.